GAUGAACGCUAGCGGCAGGCUUAAUACAUGCAAGUCGUGGGGCAGCAUGAGUAGCAAUACUUGAUGGCGACCGGCAAACGGGUGCGGAACACGUACACAACCUUCCGAUAAGUGGGGAAUAGCCCAGAGAAAUUUGGAUUAAUACCCCGUAACAUAUAGAGUAGGCAUCUUCUUUAUAUUAUAGCUUCGGCGUUUAUUGAUGGGUGUGCGUCUGAUUAGGUAGUUGGCGGGGUAACGGCCCACCAAGCCUACGAUCAGUAGCUGAUGUGAGAGCAUGAUCAGCCACACGGGCACUGAGACACGGGCCCGACUCCUACGGGAGGCAGCAGUAAGGAAUAUUGGACAAUGGGCGAAAGCUUGAUCCAGCCAUGCCGCGUGAAGGAUUAAGGUCCUCUGGAUUGUAAACUUCUUUUAUUUGGGACGAAAAAAGGGAAUUCUUUCCCACUUGACGGUACCAAGUGAAUAAGCACCGGCUAACUCCGUGCCAGCAGCCGCCGUAA
Molecule: ribosomal RNA, 500 nt
Filed under: uncultured bacterium
Lineage: Bacteria
Description: partial 16S ribosomal RNA
Rfam family: Bacterial small subunit ribosomal RNA
Source: RNAcentral